This 73-nucleotide transfer RNA is filed under the name Oenococcus oeni. RNAcentral's name for it is "tRNA-Ala". It matches the Rfam family "tRNA". Rfam says of the family: Transfer RNA (tRNA) molecules are approximately 80 nucleotides in length. Their secondary structure includes four short double-helical elements and three loops (D, anti-codon, and T loops). Further hydrogen bonds mediate the characteristic L-shaped molecular structure. tRNAs have two regions of fundamental functional importance: the anti-codon, which is responsible for specific mRNA codon recognition, and the 3' end, to which the tRNAs corresponding amino acid is attached (by aminoacyl-tRNA synthetases). tRNAs cope with the degeneracy of the genetic code in two manners: having more than one tRNA (with a specific anti-codon) for a particular amino acid; and 'wobble' base-pairing, i.e. permitting non-standard base-pairing at the 3rd anti-codon position. Lineage: Bacteria; Bacillati; Bacillota; Bacilli; Lactobacillales; Lactobacillaceae. The record is from RNAcentral.
GGGGAAUUAGCUCAGCUGGGAGAGCACCUGCUUUGCAAGCAGGGGGUCAUCGGUUCGAAMCCGAUAUUCUCUA